UGUUGCGUUCAAAAGGCGUCAUCCCUUCAGCUUCUGUUGCACCCAAAAUCCCCGUGUUAGUGAAUAGAGGCCUUGCAAGAGUACUCAGUUGAAGGAAACACAACAAAAGUUUUCCAUCCAAAGUUAAACCGUGACUUCCCUUCGGAAUGCACGACCCUCGAUUGCUCAAAGCAUAUUGCAAAUGACGCGACGUUCCACAUGACUCUUGGUUUGGUUUAUCAGAGGUGCAGGCUGGAUGUUAAAUUAUGAAAAAGAUAUUCCAGUACUUCUUGAGGAUGGAAUCAAGGUUCUUAUAUAUGCCGGAGGAUUUGAUAUUAUUUGCUAUGUUACAAGAGUUCAAAACCCACUAUGACAGUGGCAGCGUUUCCAGGCAUCAAUAUCAUUUAGCUCUGCUCAUUACUAAGAUUAUUAGGAACUCCUCCUCCUCAUUCUCUAGGUAAAGCCUGAUCAAAAGGAUGCGGAUAUUUGUUAUGAGCUUCUUAUGGUAUCGAGAGGGACCAUCUGUUAUCCACAUAACGCAUUCUAUGUAUUGUGUAAUGUAAGAAAACCACAUAGAUGUACAAUGACUUGUCUGGCUUUUGAAAACGUAUAAUCCAAACAUUUGGUUUCAA
Lathyrus oleraceus (garden pea) is the source of this 611-nucleotide long non-coding RNA. RefSeq lists it as uncharacterized. The record is from RefSeq and is a predicted model, not a curated record. Lineage: Eukaryota; Viridiplantae; Streptophyta; Magnoliopsida; Fabales; Fabaceae. The transcript has 2 exons.